GUACAGAAGAGGCUUCACAUAAAAGGACUCUUUCUCUUCUAUGCCCCAUAAUUUUCAUAAUUGUUUCUGGUGUGUGACAUUUAAGAAAUCGAUGGAAAUUUAAGAAGUGGUUAAGAGUCUUAAAGAAGAAAGACUCUUCCUCUUCUCAAUGCUAAAGAGAGGUGGUGGCAAUUAAUUUUUGACAUGAAACCAAAGUGGCGUGGAGGUCUCCCUCCACACUUGAAACUUUUCUAAGUUAGAUAGGAGUCCAACUAAAAUAGAUCUAAUCCAAUCAUGUCAAAGGCAAC
RNAcentral lists this long non-coding RNA (287 nucleotides) under Elaeis guineensis (African oil palm). Its description in RNAcentral is "long non-coding RNA (EGUI_LNC061616)". Lineage: Eukaryota; Viridiplantae; Streptophyta; Magnoliopsida; Arecales; Arecaceae. The record is from RNAcentral.